CCUACCACUGACAUUCUCAGCCGCUAGUGGCUGUGGGUCCACCUCUUUGCAGCUCUAGGUCACAGCAAACACAUAGACUGGUGGAGUCCUUCGGCCAAUAUGGAGACAAGGAACUCAGCUUGCAAGGCUGGCCUGCUUGCUCAGGCUGGCUGAAGCUCAGUUACCUCUCUUAUAAAGAUUGGGACUGCAGCAAGGAAAGCAACGCCAAGUCCAUCAGGGUGACGAUCCAGUGUACAGAGGCCCCCACAUGGUAUAAGAGCAGCUUCCAAUGAAGGCAUCCAAGAGAUUCAGCAGUACUGACAACAUCUUGCGGGAUUCAUCAUUUGACCUAGAAUAGGUCAGAAGAGAGAUCAGAGUUUGAGCCCACUUUCCAGCUCUACAAAAUCCAUGGCUGGCACUGAGUCCAGGGGAAAGUUCAAAAACUUGACCAGCAUCUCCCUAAAAAAGGUGAGGUCAUGGCUCCAGCUGGCUCCCAGAGGGGGCCGAGUUAUCAUCCAGUUCUCCGGAGCCUGCCAGCUCCCAGGGGCUCAGAGAUCAAGGUACACUAAGCAGUUGCUGAGCCAGAAAGAGUGACUGCAGAAGGCACAUCUCCUUCACGGAAGCCCCAGGGCAGAAGUCCUCUGUCUAAGCUGGUCAUGAAUCCAGGAGCAGGCAUGUACUUCCUUUAAUUAAAAAGGUAAAAAUCUUACUCUGACCUGAAUACCUUAAUAUAUUUCAAAGAGGACCCUGCUGCUUUCCUUGUGUACCUGCUGAUUCAGCCUCCAGGUUUACACAUAGAUCAGAUGGGUCAGAUUUUGGAAACAGAAGUGUGGUUCAUGCAGAAACCAGGUCAACAAUUAGCAGCUGCAGCCAUUCAUUAAGAGCUUCACCAAGCCUGUGUUCAGCUGUAUAAUGAGAUUGAGUAAAACCUGGACUUAAUCAGACUCACUCUACCCUGCUACAGGGAGCGAAUUCACAGCCCUGAGUACACCCCCCACCUCCUCCCCAUGACCAUUUAUUCAUUCUGUUGCUGCCCUCAUACUGGAGCCUGAGCAAUGGAAUCAGGAGCUAGGUCCUGAGCAAGCUCCCCCUUCCAAAGCACUACUUUGAAUUGCUUGAUUAGCAAGAGGCCAAAAGAAAUCAGAGAGGAUGCGUUCUUUUUGCAAAGGGUGAAGGAACCAUGCUUGCACUGGCUCUAGCUGCUGAGGGCAGCACAAGGAGAACAUGAGUCAGGGACGAUGAGUCCUGCCCAGCGGCAGCCACGCAUUCCUGCAAGGCAUGUGCAGAGGUGACAGGCAAGCAAUGCACAUGCUCACAAUGGCCAAGGCAUUGGCCAGAAAGCCACAGCUGACGCACAACCCGAUGACCAGGAGGAAGUCAGAAGACUCUUUCUGCUUAGAUCACAGGCAUCCUGCACACUCCCUCCUCUUACGCAGGUCCAUGAGGACAGAGAGGUUCUCCCAGGUAGAGAGCGCCCCCGUGUAGAAUUAAGAAAAGGAAGAGACUAGAUACAGAUACACAAUAUAUUGUGCUGAUAAUACAUAUGUGUGUAUACACAAUUAAGAAAAAUAGGAUUAUAUGAAUACAUAUACACCGUAUUAAGUUUUAUAUAUGGUAUAUAAAAUGCAGAAAAUUGAGGACUAUCUAUCUACUCCCAAAGAAGCUGAUACCCACACAAUGACAUUCUGCAAUGAAGCAAGAGCCUUGGCCUUCUGAUUUCCUUUGUCCCUCCACACCUCAGAACCACAAUUGAAUUAUGUUCUUAAUCCACAUCAGCACUUCCAAACAGAAUUUCAGGGAGGUGCAGGGGUAUUGGAGUUCACUAUGCUGAUGAGACCCUAAAAGCCUGGACUGAUUUCUGAGAAUAAGCCCUGAGCAGCUGAAGGAAGAUGAGAGGAUUCAGCAAAUGAGGAAGAUAAUAGUAACUGGCCAUCAACGGCAGUUCCAAUGGAAAGAGACCUCAUCGGAAAGUCCGAUGAGAAGCGCAGCCUGACAGAGACAGCGUCCGCCAAAGAGAUCUAAUUAGGGUGCAAAGAGACUCUGCAAAACACCCAAAAUAGAGUAAGAAUUUUCAUUGAAAAACUAAUAUUUGAACUUAGUGAUUUAAAGAAUUUAUAAAAGUGAGUGGUCACAAUCUAGAACCAACUAGACUAUGGGAGGCCUGGGGGAAAUACAUUGUCACACAGAGGACGGGACAAAGGGGAAAAGCAUGAGGGCAGAUCCAGAAACCUUCAUGUGGAGAAGAGAUGGUCUAGAAGGGAAAACAGGAACAGCGAGGGGAGUUAAUGAUUAAAUAAGUAGAAGAGAAAAACACGUCCUGUCUGAAGAAAGACUUGAGUCAGCAGAUGGAAAGGCCUCCCUGAGCUGCACAGCAUGCGUGGAAAAGGGACACAGCUCUAGUGAAAUCCCCAUAUGCCAGGAAUUAAAGGUGGGGAACGCACAUUGUCUCUCAAGGUAUCGUCCAUGAACUUGCUGCGCCAGAACAAGAAACUUGUUAAAAAUUAGAUUCCAGACCUUCUGCAUCUCAUCCUGGGGGUGUUUGGGGAAGUACAUACUACAAUUCAUGGGGAGGAGCCGCAGGUGGAGGGCAUUGAAGUUGCAGGAAGGGUCCUCAUCGAAUGACAGGAAGGCUGUCCUAUCCAGCAGUCCGGAUGCUCUUCCUCAGUGAAGUGUGGCAAAUUCUCACCCAAGUGUACAAACUUGCACACAAAGACAAUGUCCCAAGUGGUGCUGGCCUUUUUGGGGACACCAGCUGGAAAUGACAUCAGCAACUUCGUAGCUUUUAAAAAACUACUCACAAGAGGUUAUAACUUGACUUUGAUCUUCGUAAAGUGAAAGGAAACAUACAGAACUGAAUUAU
Molecule: long non-coding RNA, 2839 nt
Organism: Talpa occidentalis (Iberian mole)
Lineage: Eukaryota; Metazoa; Chordata; Mammalia; Eulipotyphla; Talpidae
Exons: 4
Source: RefSeq, a predicted model, not a curated record